AGUGUAAUCAUAGGAUAUAUUGUUAUAUGGUAUGUUUUAAGAAGAAGGAUGUGAUGAUUGGUCAAAUUAUAAGCAAAAACAAUUAAUAUUUGAAAAUUAAGGUGCUGGAACGGUCGCAUAUGUUAUAUCUCCUUUCUUUAGAAAUGGGACUUGGUAUGUACGAACAUGGCAAUAACAUGUUGUACAAUUAUCUAUGUGAAGUGUACUAUAAACUUGGCUUUAUUUUAUUGGACGUCAUUUUUUUGUUAUUUUCCUCUUGACACGCGUAUUUGCACUCAAAACAACUCACCAGCUAACAUGGAUCUUUGAAGUUCACUUUCUUUUUCACUGAUUCUUUCAAAUUAAAGUUUGUUAAUUGUAUUUGCUGAAAGGAAAAUUGGAUGAAAAUGACUAUAAACAAAAUAAUACUUAGCAACCAUCCAAACAAGUUGUUGAUGAAGAUGGAGAUACUGUUGUUCAAAUUUCGACAUACAGUCAUCAUCUGAAACAAAUUUUGGGGCUUAUGCACUCCACUCGCUGUCUACUAAACGAGCGUUAGAGCGAGUAUUAUUGCUGGCUAUGUUGCUGUUUGGCUAAUGAAAACACUGAAUGCUGGUAAUACCAAUGGAUGGCUUUCGAUUUCGUCGAGAGUUUCUUGUUUUGGCCCUGGUAUUGCAUUUCUUAUACUAACUGUUCUUAAUUUCCUCUUAUGGGGAAGUCAUAGCACUUAUACAAUUCCUUUCACUACAUACAUUAUUCUGUUGUUGUUGUGGUUUUGCAUUUCCAUGCCUCUUACACUCAUAGGUGGAUUCAUCGCUACAAAGGCUCCACACCUUGAGAAUACCCUUGUCGUAGCAAUCAAAUUCCUCGUGAAAUCCCAUCAAACAGAUUUCCUACUUGGGUGUUGGUAACUGGAGCAGGAACUCUGCCAUUUGGAACUCUGUUUAUUGAUCUCUUUUUCAUCAUGUCUAGCAUAUGGCUCGGACGUGUUUAGUAUGUUUUCGGGUUUCUGUUGGUAGUAUUGAUACUUGUGGUUGUUUGUGCUGAAGUGUCUUUGGUCCUGACUUAUAUGCAUCUUUGUAUGGAAGAUUGGAGAUGGUGGUGGAAAUCAUUCUUCGCGUCUGGCUCAGUUGCAAUCUACAUAUUCUUCUACUCCGUCAACUAUCUUGUUAUCGAUCUCAAGAGCCUGAGUGGACCUGUUUCGACUAUGCUAUACUUAGGCUACUCACUUUUAAUGGCGCUUGCUGUUAUGCUAGCAACUGGUGCUAUAGGGUUCUUGACGUCUUUUUUCUUUGUGCAUUGUCUCUUCUCUUCCGUUAAAAUAGAUUGAAGAAAGUGACCUGUUUGAGUUCCAUUUUCCAUGCUAUUGAUGAUUAACAUGAAGUUCAGGUGGACACUAAUGUUAACCACUUGCAAAUAUUGCUAGCUUUUAUGGUAGACUACUUUAUUUCAAAUUUGUUGUCAUGUUGUUUCAUACAUUUUAAAGGAAAUAAGAUUAGUUACUGAGAAAUUAUGAAUGUGUGUGUAGUGUAAGUUUAAUUCUAGCGCUAGGAAUUUGCAAGCACAACAUAUGACUUCUCAGUUAAAUAGAAAAACAAUGUGUAAAUAGACUUCCAUUGCUGUGUGAAGUCACAAACUUGGAAAUACAUUAACCAAAGAGCAAAGGGAAGCUAGAGUUUUAUAGUAUCACAAACACACACCAAAGAUAAGGAUUUCCCUGAUUAUAAUUUAUAUGAAUGUCAUCAACAUUGCUCAUAUUAAAAUGUCAAAAGUCCAAGUCUAAAUUUCAUGACCAGCUUCUGUAAGACAUACUUUGAGCUGAUAAUUCGAGAGUAUGGUUAUUAAUUCAUGGUGUAUAGAUUAAUUUUACUUUACAAGGUCUUGCAGCUUGAAUUAGGUUUUUUGAAUUUACUUAUGAAAGACGUAUGAGUUUUAACUUUAAGUACUAUAGAUUUGACUUAAUGAUAUUUUCAUAUUUUUAGUUAUAUUUUUUAUUCUGUUAUUUUACUUGUGAGUUACAUUUUUCGGGGCUAUUUGAGUGACCCAUAAUUUUGUGGUCGAAUGCCACUUAACCAUAAGGAGAGAGACAUCAACCACUUGACUCUAAUGAGAUGAAUUUUAUAGAAAAAGUAGUUCAAAAGAAGCCACAAAUUUAAAUAGAAAGAAUAGUCAAUGUCAAUUAGAGACAACUUUGUUGAACUCUUCCUUUCGAAACUUACCAUCAUAUAUGAAUUAUGUUAGUAUGAAUCUAUGUAUUUGUCAACCUUCUGAUGGAGGCAUAUAGUAUAUCUCAUAUAAUUUGCUAAUAACUUUUGGAACUAUCGAGAUUGUUCUUUGAAAAUGGAUUAUUGCAAGUUUUCUUAUAUAAUCUAAAAUAGUUCUUCUCAAGAGGAGGAAAGCCAGAAUAUUUUACAUUAUAAUUGACUCUGCCAAAUCUUAGGUUGUGGUGAUCUCACCCCGUGAUGAUGUUGUGGAUGCGGGACAUUAGUUGUAUUGUUGUGAGCAGGCAAACCGUGCAAGUUGACUUUCCUUCUUGGAUUAUAAGGUUUGAAUAACCCACAUUGUGAGAGAAGUUGAAAAACAUGUAUCAAGUAAAUUCACCCUUUUAUUUAUAACAUUUCAGUUCUGUAUUCACACUUUCGACAUACAUUUAUUAUUUAGACGUGGGGUUGCUAGAGUUUUCCUACUACCUUUCGCUCGGGGGAGAUACUACUAUUUUUAUGCUAAAUAUUGAUUUUGACAUCUUAUUUGUUGAACUGUAAAACUCCACAAGAGAAAAACAUUUGAGAUGGAUGGUCAGAUGGUAGUAGUUGGUGUUGUUGGGUUUGUUAUGACAUUAUUCAAGGAAGAGACCAUUAUGAAGUACUGCUACAAAUGGGAAGCUAAUGAAAACUAAGGAAAUUCAGACACAGUUUCUCGGAAAUUCAGGCACAGUUGUAGAAACCGAACAAGUAUGUUUGUGUCAACCAUGUGUUAACUCUCACAUGUAUCAAAUUUGAAUGUCAUCCCUUAUAUUUCGGGGUACCAUGGCUUGAAUUAGCUUUAGCUAUAUAUAAAAAAUGUAUUUUAAUAAUCAUGUGUUUCUCCGAAAUCUUAUUUACACCAACAUUCAUAUUAUCAGUUAAUUAUAUAAUAAGAGGUGAUGUAUGAAUUAGUUUUUAAUUGAUGUUUGCACCUCUUAGAGUUAAUUGAGCAUUGUAAGGAUAAUUUUACUGAUACUUGUAUGUCAUCUUCUUUUGUUGAGAAACAUGUAUGUGUUCUUUCAAAUUCACUGAUAUUGAUUAUUUAUGAAGUUAGUUUAUUGAUGAUAUAGGACUUGAGAAUGUUAAUAAGAUAGCAAUAUAUCACCUAAAAGACAUUUACUGGUCUCUCUGUCUAUAAUGUUUAUAGAAAUGGAAUGGUUGUAUGCACUUAUCAUCACUUAUCCAAUCAUGUAUUUGUGUAUUAUCACUUACCCAAUCAUGUAUUUGUGAUACGUAGCCUAUUUUAAAUAAAAUGAUCAUUAUUAUUUAAA
Long non-coding RNA from Solanum pennellii, 3493 nucleotides. RefSeq lists it as uncharacterized. NCBI's taxonomy places the organism in Eukaryota, Viridiplantae, Streptophyta, Magnoliopsida, Solanales, Solanaceae. The transcript is spliced from 4 exons. The record is from RefSeq and is a predicted model, not a curated record.